This is a non-coding RNA of Podarcis lilfordi (Lilford's wall lizard), 19318 nucleotides long. Lineage: Eukaryota; Metazoa; Chordata; Lepidosauria; Squamata; Lacertidae. The record is from the annotation of a GenBank genome assembly.
GUGGGUUUUAUCUGCUUGGCCUAAACCAGGGAUUGCCAGUCUGUGACCUUCCAGACAUGAUGAAAUUUGGCCUUUUAUCUAUUUAUUUUAUUUAUUAAAUUUAUAUAAUGCCCUUUGUCUUAAGAUCACGGGGCAGUUUGCAGCAUAAAAAUACAAAGUGAGAAUACAAAAUACAUACCAACCAACCAACCAACCAACCAACCAAACAAACAAACCAAUAACCUUGCCUUUCACAAGCACAUUGAAAAGGCCAUAGAUUGUUUAAUCAGCCAUAGGCUUGGUUAUAGAGGAACGUUUUCUCCUGGCGCCUAAAUAUAUGUAACGAAGGUGCCAGGCGAGCCUCCCUAGGGAAAGCUUUCCACAGGCGGGGAGCCACUGCAGAAAAGGUCCUUCUUCAUGAUGCCACGCUCUGGACCUCUCGUAGAGGAGGCACGUGAAGAAGGGCCUCAGAUGAUUAUUGCAGGGUCCAGGAAGGUUUAUAUGGGGAGAGGCAGUAAGCUAGUUUCUACACACACUCAUACUCUUCCAUCUAGACAAGCUAGAGAUGUUAUUAGAGCUCAAGGGCACAUCCCAGCCAGAAAAAAACAACACUCAAUGGGGGUGUGAAGCAAGGAUUGUGAGUGGCCUUGGGUGAGGUGGUGUGGCUGGAGAAGGGAUCUGGCAUGAGUUUCUGCCGCAAAAAAGCACAAACAAAUAAGGAAGUGGGAAAACUCAGUACAGUGGUACCUCAGGUUAAGUACUUAAUUUGUUCCGGAGGUCCAUUCUUAACCUGAAACUGUUCUUAACCUGAAGCUCCACUUUAGCUAAUGGGGCCUCCUGCUGCUGCCAUGCUGCCGCAGCACGAUUUCUGUCCUCAUCCUGAAGCAAAGUUCUUAACCUGAAGCACUAUUUCUGGGUUAGCGGAAUCUGUAACCUGAAGCAUCUGUAACCUGAAGCGUCUGUAACCUGAGGUACCACUGUAUCUGAAUCUGUGGUAUGUAUAGAGAGGCUUGAGCAUAAUUCUUUAUGUUUGGAUAAGUGAAUUCUUGUAUAGUGAACAGGCGGGUAGUGGGAGCUGUGUGUAUAUGGAAUUUAGUAGCUGUAAAGUGCAGUUGCAGUUAAUGUCACUAAUUGAUGCUAAUGAUAACAGUCACAUAAGAUGUACCAAACCAAUCCCAGGGUUUCUGCCUGCUCCUUCCUGAGCAGCACCCGCAACAGAACAUCACACAUUCCUCUGUGACAAGUCACCAAGGUAGGAACUGAUUAUUUUAUACUUUGCAAGAACUGUGCAUGUUGAUAGCGCUAUGGAAACCAGGGGUGACUAACAGUUUUUGGCUCAAGGGCCAUGUCCACCCUUGGCCAACCCUCCAGGGGUCACAGGUCAGGAAUGGGCAUGGCCAAAAGGGGGCGUGGCCAGUUUCAUUGUAAUACACACACAUCGGAUGUACAUGCACAAUUGCAGAGGCACACACAGGCCCUCUCCUCAGCUGAGCUGUGCAGAUCUGGCACUCAGGGCCGAGAGGAACCAAAUCCAUACACGGGCAAACUAUAGACGUUUGUGGUACUGGCUGCAUUAGUUGGAGACAAAGAGCCGCAGUGGAUCUUGCCUGCAGUUCUGACAACAACUCAGAGCUGUCUAUACUUAGCUCAUCUCAGACACACACCACAUUAUUCAGCUUGCUUCGGAAAAAUAAUUUUGUUAAAUUAUGUAGCUAAUAAACAAGAGAAGCCCAUUUGCAGAAUGAUAAACAGAAUUCUCUCUUCCUUAAAAAGUGAGUAAUCCCCCCCCUAGAAAAUAAUCAUUGCACACCAGAAACUCUAAAUUUGAUUAAUAGUGUCUAUUAUAUAUUGAUGGGGGGAAUAAUUACAUAUUAGUCCUGCAUUCUGAUUACCUGCGGAAGGUUCCACUUGUAAUAUAAUUAAGAGCAGCUCCUCUGGAGUUGUGGGCGGCUGGCUGUGUGUAUACACAUUCCCCCUGCUGAUGGAAAGUCGAGGCAUUAAUGAAGAAGGCCACGUUUUAAUUCCUGCGCUUCUAGUGCAAGGGAAUUAUUGUGAUUGCCCUACUUAUUUAUUUUAUUAAUGUAGCAGUGCCUUGAGUUCCUGGAUAGACAGGAAAUAGCUUUGGCUUGCAGAUCUUCAUUGGACAUGGAGAGUGGCUUCUCCAGAAGCCAUUUGCAAGACAAAGGCGAAUCACUGAGUUACUCCAUAAGGAAAAAAAUCCACAAGCGGCCAAUGCCUUUAUUGGGACUAGGUUUGGGGGAGAAAUUGAGUUUGGAUAGCACUUUAAGGCAAAUAGACCAGAUUUGUACUUUGGUGAACCAAAACCCAGCUAGCCUUAAAAAUCCACAGUUCUCUGAAUUUUGGGAUUAAGGGAGCAAUCCUGUGUACAGGAAGCUGGCAUAAAGUGUUGUUGUUUAGUUGUUUAGCCGUGUCCAACUCUUCGUGACCCCAUGGACCAGAGCACGCCAGGCACUCCUGUCUUCCACUGCCUCCCGCAGUUUGGUCAAACUCAUGCUGGUAGCUUCCAGAACACUGUCCAACCAUCUCGUCCUCUGCCGUCCCCUUCUCCUUGUGCCCUCCAUCUUUCCCAACAUCAGAGUCUUUUCCAGGGAGUCUUCUCUUCUCAUGAGGUGGCCAAAGUAUGUAGCCUCAGCUUCACGAUCUGUCCUUCCAGUGAGCGUAAAGUAAGUCGGUGUAAAUUAAGCCAAUGUAAAGUUACAUCAGAUCUGAUCCCCGUUCAGCAGUGGGACUGCUUCUGCUUUUCCUAAACCUGGCAGAAGGAAAACAAGCCUUUAAAAGAGUCUCUAAGCUAGAUUUCCAGGUCAUAUGACUUAGGUGCCCGUGGGGGUUGCCCGCCUAAAAUGGUAGCAGCCUUGAGUUAAGGGGAAGCCUUUCAAUGAAGGUUUAUACAGGCUGUGUAUCCACUUUUUAUUCACUCUUUAAAACACACAAACACAUUUUUAGCCUUUGUGGUUCCAUAGCCAGCUUGAAAAUGCAUUAGCGAAGUGUAUGAGAAUUGCCUUACUAGGUCAGACCAAGGUCAACAUAGUCUAAGCAUUCUGUUUCCAAUUUAAAAUAUCGUCUAAGGGUCAAACUGAAUGAGGCAAAAGAACGUAAGCAGCGGCUUGCUGGAUGAAAUCCGUGGGCCAUCUAAAUAAUAGACUAUAGACAAAAUACAAACAGGCAAAUCUUGGGUCCGGACGGCAUUUUACCCCAGACCUCUCAAACAACUCAGAUGUGACAUUGCUGAUCUUGUAACAAAAAUAUAUAACUUGUCCCUCAGAUCAGCCUCUAUACCUGAGGACUGGGAAGUAGCUAUGUAUCACCCAUUUUUAAAAAGGGAUCUGGGGGGUCCUGGAUAGUACAGGCAGCUUAACGUCUGUCCUGGGAAAAUUGGUGUGAAGUAUUGUUCAAUGACAAACCUAGACAGCAUCUUAAAAAGCAGAGACAUCACCUUGCCAGCAAAGGUCCGUAUAGUUAAAGCUAUGGAUUUCCCAGGAGUGAUGUAUGGAAGUGAGAGCUGGAGCAUAAAGAAGGCUGAUCGCCAAAGAAUGGAUGCUUUUGAAUUAUGGUGCUGGAGGAGACUCUUGAGAGUCCCAUGGACUGCAAGAAGAUCAAACUGAUCCAUUCUGAAGGAAAUCAGCCCUGAGUGCUCACUGGAAGGACAGAUCCUGAAGCUGAGGCUCCAAUACUUUGGCCACCUCAUGAGAAGAGAAGACUCCCUGGAAAAGACCCUGAUGCUGGGAAAGAUGGAGGGCACAAGGAGAAGGGGACGACAGAGGACGAGAUGGUUGGACAGUGUUCUGGAAGCUACCAGCAUGAGUUUGACCAAACUGAGGGAGGCAGUGGAAGACAGGAGUGCCUGGCCUGCUCUGGUCCAUGGGGUCACGAAGAGUUGGACACGACUAAAUGUCUAAACAACAACAAUAGCAACAACAUUGUUCAAGAUGAAAUAGCCAUGCAUAUAGAAGAACAAGCCCUACUGAAGCCGAGUCAGCAUGGCUUCUGAAAGGGCAAGUCUUGUCUCACAAACCUAUUAGCGUUCUUUGAGAGUGACACCAAGUAUAUAGAUAGAGCUUGACAGAGUUCCCUUGAACUUUCAAAAAGCUUUCAACAAACUACCUCACCAAAGACUCCUGAGUAAGCUUAGCAGUCAAGGAAUAAGAGGAGAGGUCCUCUUGUGGAUCAGGAACUGGGUAAGUUGCAGAAAGCAAAACAUAGGAAUAAAUGGGCAGUUCUCUGAAUGGAGAGAUAUCAUAGAGUUGGAAGGGACCCUGAGGAUCAUAGAGUCCAACCCUCUGCAAUGCAAGAAUAUGCUGCUGUCCCUUACGGGGAUCAGACCUGCAACUCUGGAAUUAUCAACACCAAGCUCAGACCAACUGAACUAUCCAUUUAAUGUGGAAAGUGAAGUCCCCGUAAAUCAAUACCGGGACCUUUUUAACUUGUUCAUAAACUGGUUAGGAGUGAACAGUGAAGUGGCCAAGUUUGAUGAUGGUUCAGGGUUGUUAAAACAAACAUAGAUUGCGAAGCGCUCCCAAAGGACCUCUGCAAAGCGAGUUGAUAGAUGGUUAAAUGACAAAUGCGAUUCAGCAUCAACAAGUGCACCGUGAUGCAUGCCAGGACCAAAAGACCUUAAUUUCACAUAUAUGCUCGUGGAGUCUGACUCGGCGGCGACUGACCAGGAACGAGAUCUUGGUGGUCUGCAUCACAGCAGUUAAAACGGUAGCUGCUGGUUGCCAAGUCAGGCAGAGUUGUCUAAUUAAUUUUGCCUCAAUUUCCAGAAAGGAAAUGAUAUUGCAGAAGGAGACAGCUACAGGGCAGGAUCCAGUAAUGAGGGUCAAGAUGCAACGAGCCCCUUGAGCAGUAAAAGCCCUUCUAGAGGCAUACAAAGACCAGAGUAAAACACAUCAGCAACAGCAGCUCAAAAUACCCAGGUUAAAAAGCCGGUAUUUAAGAGGAAUACGUCUGCUACUGCACCACACUCUGGCACUGUCAAGUGCGUGAGUGUGUGGGAUUUGAGGAGCUGCCAUCUCUGAAGGACAGUGGCAAGUGACAAACUUCAUCCAGGGGAAAGGAGAUCAAGACAGGACAUGUUAUAAAUACAGUGGUACCUUGGUUCUCAAACGCUUUGGUUCUCAAACUCCAAAAACUUGGAAGUGUGUCGGUGCUAAACUUCAUUUCAUUUGUCUUUGCUUGCAAUUAUUGUAGGCAUUUUGUUUCUUAUAAUAUAAUAUUGAUCGUAACGAUAAGGGUUUGUAACCAAUGUGAGUCCUGCUCGGAGUAGACCCAUUGAAAUGACUAGACAUAACUAACUUGUGUCCAUUAAUUUUAGUCUACUCUUGAGCAGAACUUGCAUGCAUUCAACUCAUUGUUAGCUAUACAAAUCUACGUUUGAUUAUAAAUUUAUCUUUUUUUUAAAAAAGCAGAUGGUUAUUAAGAUUCUUGGAGUGAAUAAGAACAUGGAAGAGCAGAGAGAGAGUGAAGACAGGAAGCAAACCGGUGCAAGAAUCUCUUUAGCAUCCUUUAGCAAAGCUGCAUGCCAAAGGUUAUGACAGCUUCUUGGUGUAGAGAUUUUAUGGGAAGUCUGUUGGUGGGUACCUGUUUCUGCCAUUUCAAAGACCAGAGUGGAUGAAGAAUAAUUUCGAGGGACUGUAUGGGAGGAAAGGCUUUAAUCCACUACUAAUUAAGGCAAAAGAGAAAAUAAGGGUAGCUACCAUGAAAGAGGGCCAGCUGCGAUGUACCACAUAGUAUGUAAGGAAUCCAACUAGACUUUUGACUUCUUUUUAUUUGAGAUCUGGCCAAGCACUGAGAGAACAGAUUGGAAUGCCAAAUGAUGGGAAUAUGAGUUCUAAUUGUUUGUGCAAAUGUCAGUUUUCAAGAUUCCUGUUUUUUAAAGAAGAUGCGCAGGUAAUUGGCAAGCCCAUGUUUCAUUGCUAUGUUUCACUGACAGGUAAGAUGUGAUUGCUUUCAGCAGCAUUUAUUUGCCUCCUCCUCUCCUUUUUAUCUUUUUUUAAAAAAAGCAUCCUUGUGAAAAUGUUAGGUCAACCGCCGGCCAUCAGAGUGUGCUUCAGGAGACGAACGCAUGCUGCGAUGUCUUGUUAUGAAAUGUUUAUGUUCAGAGCAAAUGGAUACGGUUUAUUAUUCCUCGUCUUCUGUGAAUGAUCUUUGGAGUGGGUGGUAGCAAAUAUUCUUUAAACAGAAUGGGCUUGCUUGUUUUAAUGGUGCAAUAGCUGCCCUGGGGCUAAGCUAUAUUUCUGGAAAAGUCAAUAUAGCACCUGCCAGAUCUUGCUGGACUGCAGCAUCCAUCACCCCUAACCAUUGGCCAUGCUGAUCAGAUGAUGGGCCACAACAAUAGCAUCUGAUGAGUACCAUAUUGGCAACCUCUCCUAUAUCUGAUGGUGGCAGAGCUGUGCUUCUAAAUAUGGAUAAAUCUGCAGUGCAGAAUUGUAUGUGAGAGGGUGAAGUUUAAAAGGGAGUUGUAUUGCAGGAAAGAAUGCUGAAUAUGGCCCUCAUUUAUUUCCCAACCACCCCGCUGUAUCCCUGAGUUAAUCCCCAGAAGCGAGCACAUCUGGAAGAAAAACAGCUGUUGGGAAGGGCUGAAGAGGUGUGGGAUGGGCUCAUAUCCAUCUGUCCAUGGUUUAAAUUGCUGGGUUGGCAUUGAUAAUAAUUUUUCACUGCUUCUUAUUAUCAAUUAUAUAGUAUUUUGUAUUGCAUAUCAUUAUGGAUUAUAUUUACCGUACUUUUCCGUCUAUAAGACGCCCCCAUGUAUAAGACACCUCCUAUUUCUGGGGACUCAAAUUUAAGAAAAUGGAGGGAAAUUGCCCAGAGUUGUUGAGCUUUUUUUGGGGAGAAUUGCAGAAAAUCGCUCACCAGAAUGACCAGUGCAGACAACAGCACAUGUCGUGGAAGCAGCCUCUCACCUGUGUGCUCGCUGCCAGCAGUCCUGAAUCACUCGCUUGAUUGCCGCAGGGGCAGCCAAUCAGCAGCAGCCCUUGCCGCAGCCACCAAUCAACUGUCAAAACGCCCCUGACAAUCUCCAGCUCCCAGCUGCAAUCAGUUGCACGUCACAGCACUCCACUACCCAUGUAUAAGACGAACCCCAAUUUUUGACAUUGUUUUUGGGUCAAAAAACCUCGUGUUAUACACAGAAAAAUACAGUAUAUAGCCGUUUUAAUUUUUUGCAUGUUAUCAUUAUAUUAGGAGGGACACGGGUGGCGCUGUGGCCUAAACCACAAAGCCUAGGGCUUGCCGAUCAGAAGGUCGCUGGUUCAAAUCCCUGCAAUGGGGUGAGCUCCCGUUGCUCAGUCCCAGUCCUGCCAACCUAGCAGUUCGAAAGCAUGUCAAAGUGCAAGUAGAUCAAUAGGUACCACUCCAGCGGGAAGGUAAAUGGCAUUUUCGUGUGCUGCUCUGGUUCGCCAGAAGCAGCUUAGUCAUGCUGGCCACAUGACCCGGAAGCUGUACGCUGGCUCCCUUGGCCAGUAAAGCGAGAGUCGUCCGCAACAGGACCUAACGGUCAGGGGUCCCUUUACCCUUUACCUUUUAUCACUAUAUUAGGGGAAAUGGGAAUGCCUGAAGAUGGCUUCUAAGGAUGUUUAUCCAAACAUAUGACUGGGAAACCUGCGUUGUCAGGGGUCCUGGUUGUCAACUUCAGACGAACACUUUUGGGAUCUCCUCUUCAGACUUUUCCGUUCAACACAGGAAGGUCAAAAGUGGAAUAGGUUCAACCAGGGUACAUAGAUGCUAGGAGCAGAGCCAGCAAGUACCCCCUCUGGAACUCCUGCACACUUUAUGCCUUCACAUUUUGUUUUGAAUAGAUGAAGAGGGCUUAUAUUUGUUGCUGCUGGGAUGUUAAUUGCUCAGAACUGGAAACCAGCCAAAAAUCCCAGAAUUUACUGAAAGGCUUUAUAAUAUCUGGGAGAUUGACUUUUUGUGCAAACAAAUGCUGGACAGGGAAAUAGAAGUCUCUUCAGAACUUUGCAAAUGGCUGGUCUUUAUUUAUUCAGUGCUGGAAUGCAAAGUUUCCUCAAAUCAAGGUAAAUACCCAUGUCUUACCCAAGUGGAUUUUUCUUUUUUUACUUUGACUUAUUUUAUAAUUGAGGUCUUGAUUGAUACCUCCUCCUGAUAGAUAUAUCUAUUUUCAAAGACAUGUUAGUCCAUUUUAUGGCAAUAAUUUAUCUUAUUCUUUAUUUGUUUUGUUCUCUGUUGAUUCUAGAUCAGCAAUGGGCACCACCCAUUGUUGCAUUCCAACUCUCAUCAGCCCCAUUCAAUGGUCAGGGAUGAUGGGAGUUGUAGUCCAAAAAUAUCUGGAGGGCCAUUGGUUCCCCUGCCCUUGGUGAGGGUGGUUGUUAGUGUUGUGCACAACUGUGGUUUUAUAAUUGUUGGGAGCCGGCCAGAGUAGCUGGGGCAAUCCAAUCAGAAGGGUGAUGUUGUUGUUGUUGUUCCAGGGCAUUUUGUGUGUAAGCGAAAGAGGGAUGGGUGAAUCUCCCAUUCCAGCUUCUCUUAGCUUCUCAUUUCCCAAUUUUAACUUGACUUCUCCACAUUUCCAGUCUUUGCAAAAAUUCACCAGCAUUUUAGUGCAAAUUUCUCCUAGAUCACAGAUUUUACCCUGCUACAUUCAUUUUUGUACACAAUCCAUGACUGCAGAGCUGCACUAGAAAAUUCAGGGAAGAGCAAAUUUCAAAAGAUGGCUGUAUGUCAGUUCUCACAUUGCUCUGGAACUUUGCUGAAUUUCUCCUCCAGCCUUGGCAUGAAAUGUUAGCCACCACAGAAGAAAAUGCUACAGGCAGAGAAAAAAUAAGCUUUAUAUUUUGGUCAGGAAGGCAGGGAAUAUGAGUUGAGGGGAAAAAUAUCGGAAAAUUUCUCCGAAAUUUUUUUUGGCCCAGCUACAGAUUGCACUGGAAGGACAGAUCAUGAAGCUGAGGCUCCAAUACUUUGGCCGCCUCAUGAGAAGAGAAGACUCCCUGGAAAAGACCCUGAUGGGGAAGAUUGAGGGCACAAGGAGAAAGGGACGGCAGAGGACGAGAUGGUUGGACAGUGUUCUCGAAGCUACCAGCAUGAGUUUGACCAAACUGCGGGAGGCAGUGGAAGACUGGAGUGCCUGGCAUGCUCUGGUCCAUGGGGUCACAAAGAGUCGGACACGACUAAACGACUAAACAACAACAACAACAGAUUGCUCACCAUUCUUUCUGUAUUGUUUUCCUUUCAUUAAUUAAUAUGCUGAGUUAAAAACCGAGAAGCACCCCACAUGCGGAGAGUUCUUUAUACUUUCUAUCUUCAAGGAAACCUUUCCAUAUCAACUGAUCGCUGCCAGCUUGGAGCUCUGCCACACAUGCUGUGGAACCCCUGGGAACCGGGGAAGAAAUCCGGAGCCUGUUCUAGGAUGCACAGUCAUUUCAUGCAGAGUGUGGGCCAAGCCUAAGUAUUGCCCCAGAAGAAUGGAGAGUGCAUUCUGGAAUGUGUCCAAAACUCCCCUGGGGCUGCAAACUGCAGGGAAGACUCAAAAGCAGUAGGCGGACUGCCUUUCAGUGAUGCUUGCCAGCUAUUAGGGAUCAUCUCCCUGAGGAACCCAUGUCAAACUUCCAAGGGCUCCUGGGAGCACAGCUUGAAAAAUAAUGCUCUGCCACAUGUUGUGGGGUCCCAGCUAGGAGCCCCACCUACAGACUCCCCAUGAACAGAUGGUGAGAAGAAAGGUGCAGGAUCUUACUCCGGAGAGCACGCAAAGGAAUCAUGCCAGAUAGAAAAUGUUCAACAGCAUAAGUGAAUGGGUUUUUGAAGCUAGUUGGUUGACAGUGCAAUUACUGCAAUGUGUUGUAUGCCUCUGAAGACGGUCAGGGAACUUCAGCUGGUGCAGAAUUUGGCAGCCAGGUUGUUUGCCAGGGCAAGACAGCUUGAGCAUAUAAUGCCAAUCUUGUCCUGAUUGCACUGGCUGCCGAUUAGUUUCUGGGCCCAAUUCAAAAUGCUGGUUUUUAAUAAUGAUGAUGAUAAUAAUAAUAAUAAUAAUAAUAAAAGUAAUAAUAAUUUAUAUAUAUCCCGCCCUCCCCAGCUGAAGCUGGGCUCAGAGCGGCUAAAAAGAAUAAAAGUAACACAGCAUUCUAAAAUCAAUUCAUUCUAAAAUCAAUUCAAAAUCAAAUUAAUGGCAACCAUUGGGCUAGAGUUCUGUGAGGAUUACCAAAGGAGGGGGUCAGACUGUGCCUUAGCCAAAGGCCUGGUGGAACAGCUCUGUCUUGCAGGCCCUGCGGAAAGAUGUCAAGUCCCGCAGGGCCCUAAUCUCUUGUGGCAGAGCAUUCCACCAGGUCGGAGCCACAGCCAAAAAAGCCCUGGCUCUGGUUGAGGCCAGCCUAACCUCCCUGUGGCCUGGGAUCUCCAAGAUGUUUUUGUUUGAAGACCGUAAGGUCUUCCGUGGGACAUACCAGGAGAGGCGGUCCCGUAGGUAUGAGGGUCCUAGGCCCACGAAACCUUAAAUGGCUCAGAACCGCAAUAUCUCAAGGACUGCCUCUCCCGAUAUGAACUGACCUGACCCUGUGCAUUUUUGUAUCUCAUGUUCACACACACACAGAACUGCAUUGCUAGAUUGGGGAAAGUGCAAAUUUCGAGAGAUAGCUUUAUUCUUGUUUGUGUCUUGUUCUGAAAAGUGAAGAUUAGGUAAGGUCACCUUUCAACGUAAACAGAAUCACAUUUGUCCCCCGUCUCUUGUGGCAGGUUUUCCCCUAAGCAUCAUAAAGUAUUGGGUCUGCCCUGGGCAAAUUUUGAGUCUCUCAGCAGCAGCCUCAGAGCUGGUCGAGGCCAAAGCGUGAACAUCGUCUGGGUGGGAACUGUAUCCUAAAGAGUAGGUGCUUGAUAAGACGCUGUUACUAUCAGGGACAAAAAGAGCUAAGGCUGGCAACUUAAACACGAAAAAAGAAAAAUAGGGGUUUUGUUUGUUUGUUUUUAAACUGCUUAUCAUUUGGCGUUGUUAUGAAUAAUGUAUUACUUGUUUAACACUGCUACUGUGCUUAGGCUUGCGUGGGUAGCAUUCAUUGCAGGAUAGGAAAAUGCAAUUAUUAAAAACAGUUCCAUUAAAACUGUACAUUUGUUUUUGAAUCAGCUGUGUCUUUUAAACCUCAUUAAUUAAAUUAAGGUCUGUCGUACCUGAUAAAUUAUGAUACCAGAGCCAUCAAAGCUUUCUUCACAGUUGAGGAUGGGGCAGUUUAUGUAGCACGAACCCAAGGACUGUUCCUUAGGAUGGUUACCUUUGGGGUGUUUCUAUGUAAGGAUUGCAUUUAGACUCAUGGUACAUCUGGAUAAGGAUGGAGGGAAACCCCCCCCCCCAUUUCUGUUCCAUGGUCGCAUCCAUGCCAUACACCAUGCCUUUCAAGAACACUUAAAGCACAUGACAUGCUCCAAAGAAUUCUGGGAAUUGCUCUUUACCCCUAAGGCAGCUACAGUUCCCAGCACCCUUAACAAAGAAUAGGAGUGUGUGAGAGAUCGUGCGGCAUGGUCACACUCACCACGGGUGUGUGGUUCCUGGAGGGUUGACGAAGGGUGAAUAUUAUUGGUUAUUGAGUUUACAUACUGUCCUUUUUUUUCAAAAUGUCAGCCUGGAUAGCUCGGUUGGUUACAGUGUGGCACCGAUAAUGGCAAGAUUGCAAGUUCGAUCCCCGUAUGGGACAGCUGCAUAUUCCUGUAUUGCAGAAGGUUGGAUGAGAUGAUCCCCAGUUCUACAAUUCUGUGAUUCUAUGAUUCUAUCCCAGACACUGAGAUCCAGCACAGAGGGCCUUCUGGCGGCUCCCUCAUUGCAAGAAGUGAGGUUACAGGGAACCAGACAGAGGGCCUUCUCGGUGGUGGCGCCCGCCCUGUGGAACACCCUCCCUUCAGAUGUGAAGGAAAUAAGCAGCUAUCCUAUCUUUAAAAGACAUCUGAAGGCAGCCCUGUUUAGGGAAGUUUUUAAUAUUUAAUGCUGUAUUGUUUUUAACACUUGAUUGGGAGCCGCCCAGAGUGGCUGGGGAAACUCCGCCAGAUGGGUGGGGUAUAAAUAAAUUAUUAUUAUUAUUAUUAUUAUUCUACAUACAGCGAGCGGCCACAGAAUGCUGCCUUUGAGUGAAAAGGUUAGAUAUGUUUGCCAUGAAAUUAACAUUAGUGUCCAGAACAAUGCACGUGUUUACAGAAGAGACAGGGAACCUGUGGAUAUUCAGUGUUGCUAGACUGUAUCUCCCAGUAUCUCUGACGCUUUGCAACGAUGAUUUGGGCCAAUGGAAGUUGGAAACCAGCAGCAUUCCCCCAUUCCUGGUCUAGAGCAUGCCCCAAUGUGACUCACAAAUACUAGGCUUUGUUUGCACUGGCAGAAUGCAUGCGGACUGAGGAUCAAAACGUUUUCAGAUGGAUUCAAUGUGGAAUUAACCAUCAGUGGAAGAUUUCCAUAUUAAAGCUAUACAGAGUCCUUUGCAAACAGAUCCAAACAUGUUUACUCUUUUCCAGGUGGAGCUCAUUGGAACUGUCUGCCAACGGGAUUUCAGACUAAAUUGAAAAUGGUUUUUCCCCCUUAGAAACCCACUUGGAACUCUGGCGCUGACCUCCAGUUUUUAUUAUCAUUACUAUUAUAAAGUUUUUUCAGUUAUACAAAAUAAUGUGAAAAUGAAGAAGAAGAAAGUGUAAUACAAUCAUACCUCGGGUUGCAGCCACUUCUGGUUGCGUUUUUUCGGCUUGUGGACCGCCGAAACCCAGAAGUACUGGAACGGGUUACUUCCGGGUUUCAGCAGUAGCGCAUGCGCAGAAGUGCUAAAUUGCGCUUUGUGCAUGCGCAGAAGCGCCAAAUUACAACCCGCGCGUGCGCAGACGUGCAGCUGUGGGUUGCGAAUGUGCAUCCCACAUGGAUCACGUUCGCAACCCGAGCGUCCACUGUAUAUGCUACUAUAUGUAGGAUUCUUAUAUAUACUAAUACAUACAGUAGUACCUCGGUUUAAGAACAGUCCUGUUUAUGAACGAUUCAGUUUAUGAACUCCGCAAAACCGGAAGUAGUGUCUUGGUUUGCAAACUUUACCUUGGUCUACGAACGGAAACUGAACAGUGGAAGGGCACUGGCAGCGGGAGGCCUCAUUAGGGAAAGUGCGCCUCAGUUUAAGAAUGGAUUUGGUUUAAGAACAGACUUGCGGAACGGAUUAACUUUGUAAACAAAGGUACCACUGUAUACGAUUAUUAAUAACCUACUAUAUUCUGUGUAAACUCAUUCCAAAUAUCAAUAUAUUUAUCCAAACAAAGUCUGCGCCUAUAAGCAAUCGGUUCACGUGUUGCAAGUGCUGUCAUGCCUCUAAUCCAUUGAUUAAAGGGGAUCAUAUUUUUGUUUUUCCAGUUCAUCAAUACUAGUCUUUUGGCCAUAGUUAGGGUACGUACGGUCAUACCUUGGUUCCUGAACGUAAAGACUCUCCUCCCUGCAAGAGAGGGGAGUGGUUGUGGCCGGGAGCCGGACUCCGCCUCAAGCAGGGGGCGUUUGCCCCCUGCCUCCCACCCACCUGGCUGGCGCCCACGCCCUCGGCCAGGCACCCAACCAGGUGCCUUCAAGGGGGCGUGUACAGCAGCCUAAAUUGCUGCGGCGCCAGCCUCCAGCCCUCACUUUUUGUCGUCCCGUCGCGAGUGGGGGUUAGACGACCUGAACAGAUUCUAGAAGUCCAUUUGAAAACCAAGGCACGACUUCCGAUUGGCUUCAAGAGCUUCCUGCACUCAACCGGAAGCCGAGUUGGAAGUUCAAGUUCCAAAGAAUUUUCGCAAACUGGAACACUCACUUCUGGGUUUGUGGCAUUCGGGAGCCAAAAGGUACGAGUACCAGGGCAUUCGAGAACCAAGGUACAACUGUACUGUGUUUCGUCUGGGGGCAUGUUGUGUGCUACCUUGGCUGUCUGAUAGUGCAGACCCAGGUCACUGAGCCGGAGCUUCUACAGCCGCCUCUUGCCAUGAACCCCCAUUGGCAAGAUUGCCAGCAACAGCAGCAGAUAUGUCCUAUGCUUAAGAUGAUCUUUUAUUCUCUUGCUAGUUAUGCUAUUUCAAAUGUGCAUUUUAUACAUCCUUUAGUGAUGUUAUCUUUUGAAAAAAGACAUGUUUGGGGUAGCUUUGCUGUGUUAAGUAUGCGUUCUGUAGUUGACCUCCUUUGUACUGUUUUCUUUUGAAAACUUUGAAGAUAAUAUUUUAGCUUCCUGUUAAAUAAUUUGCUUUGAACGUGUGCUUUAUAUUUGACUUUCUUUUCAGUAAUGUUUUAUUCGGGAUUGAUUUAUCUGAUGCUGUAAACUGCUUUGAGGGUUUUUUUUCUUAAAAAAAUAAAGUGAUAUAGAAAUAAUAAUAAUAAUAAUAAUAAUAAUAAUAAUAAUAAUAAUAAUAAUUUCAUCAUCCCCUGUUUAUUUUCCAAAACAUUGUGCCCCAGAGUGUCACAAUCCUUUUUUUAUGGACAGUGAUAUAUUACUAAAAUAAAUAAAUAAACAAAUAAACAAACCCAAACUCGGAGCCAAGAGCAGCUGAAUAAAUCAUGUAAAGUAAGUUCAAUUCCAUGUUUGUUUACUUUGUAUAAUUUAUUCUCCUCCUGCUAGCCAGAGGGGAUAUCAGCACUGAAGCCUCACCUCCUGACUUACGUCUUGAAUAGAGAUGUGUACAUGUCUACUAAAAAAUAAGCCCACUGAGUUCAGUGAGAUUUCACUAGCAGGUAAGUGGGUAUAAGCUUGCAGAAAGUUCCGGGCAACAUUAGUACCAUACAUUUAACAGUGUUAUUUUUCUAGAAAAAGAAGUGUUGGAACUCAACCUGAACAUCUCCCUUGUUCUCUUAUAAUGGCAAGGGUGCCCACCUGAGAGAUGCCAGAACUGAGUUCUGGAGAGCUCCAGCUGAAAAAAAGACCUACAUCCGCACCAAGGGUCAGAAGCAAUAGACAAAAUCGAUAAUUUCCUAUACAGUGGUACCUCGGAUGAAGUACUUAAAUCGUUCCGGAGGUCCGUUCUUAACCUGAAACUGUUCUUAACCUGAGGUACCACUUUAGCUAAUGGGGCUUCCCACUGCCACUGUACGAUUUCUGUUCUCAUCCUGAAGCAAAGUUCUUAACCCGAGGUACUAUUUCUGGGUUAGCAGAGUCUGUAACCUGAAGUGUCUGUAACAUGAAGCGUAUGUAACCCGAGGUACCACUGUAUACUUAUUUAUCAGCUAAAGUAGCAGAGUCUAAAAUCAGUAUUCAUUCACUGACCGUUGCUGUCACCACGACCUGUCUUGUCCUCAUUGCCAUAAAACAGAAUUUCUUGACAGCCCUUGUGACAUCUGGGUCUUUGUCAGCAAGAAAGUGUUCAACAUAGGUUUCCUCUGAGCAGCCAGACACAAACUCAUAAAAUGCAAUUUUUAGCAGUGGUUCCUGCAUUUCAGGUGACUGGAGCAGAUGAUUCUUGGGGUCCCAUCCAACUCUACAGUUCUGUGAUUCUAUGAAAACAAGUUUUGUGGCACCUUAAAAAAUAAAAACAAACAUAUUGUGCCAUUAGCCUUCAGGAAUUAGAACCCACUUUGCCAGAUUCAUGAAUAGUUAUUCUUUCUUGUCAGGUGUGUGAGUGUGUGUGUUGGGUUUGGAUUGCUUCAAUAAUGAUCAUCAAAACACUACUAAACCUUAGGUUACGCAAAUACAAUCCUAGUAACAACACACAUAACAUAACAGCCUGUUUUUGACUAUGUAACUUCUAUUUCAAACACAAUUCAACACAUAAUAUCUCACAAUGUGUAUCUCACAAUGUGUAAUUCCAUAGACCAACACAUCAUGCAAACAGAACACAUCCUGAGAAAUUAAAUAUUGGCAUAUUGGCAAUAACCACAAUAUGGUAAGCAUACCAUAUUGUGGUUAUUGCCAAUAUGCCAAUUUAGGAACUGAAUGGACUUUAUCUCCUGACCAUCCAUUGGACUUUAAUUUCUCAGGCUAUGUUCUGUUUGCAUGAUGUGUUGGUCUAUGGAAUUACACAUUGUGAGAUACUAUAUGUUGAAUUGUGUUUGAAAUAGAAGUUACAUAGUCAAAAGCAGCCUGUUACGUUGUGUGUGUUGUCAAUAAUGAUAAUCAACAACAGUUACAAAGGCCUUUUGGUUUCCCAUGGGUUGGCCAUAGUAGCAGUGCCCGCCCUGUGGGACACCCUCCCAUCAGAUGACAAACAGCUAAACAGCUAACUGAUUUUUAGAAGACAUCUGAAGGCAGCCCUGUUCCGGGAAGUUUUUAAUGGCUGAUGUUUUAUUGCAUUUUUAAUAUUUUGUUGGGAGUUGCGCAGAGUGGCUGGGGCAACCCAGUCAGAUGGGUGGCAUAUAAAUAAUAAAGUUGUUGUUGUUGUUGUUGUUGUUGUUGUUGUUGUUGUUGUUGUUGUUGUUGUUAAUAGAUGGGUCUUUGGUCUGAUCCAGCAGAGCUCUUCUUAGGUUUUUAACCCACCCUCAAAGCUCUGAUUGACCAAGCUUUUGUGCAUCUUGGCGACUUCUGAUUUCAAAGAUCCUUGAGAGAAAGGAACAGCGUGUGGAUUGUCAUAAGCCAUCUGGCAAAGGACUGGCAGAUAAACCUCUCAGAUCGUUCAGCACAGAUACAGAUUCUCCAUCGUCUAACACCAGAAAGCGGCAUCUUGCGUGCGACUUGGAAGGCGCUGCCCUGCUCUGCCGAAGCAAGGGGAUGCACAGAGGCCAAGCUUGAAAUCCUGCGCGCCGUUCCGUUUGACAAAUGGCGUGCUAAAAAUGGAAAGCACAGAACAGAAGGCAACCAGUAGGAUAAAAAAAGAAGAAGACACACACAUAGAAAGAGAGACUUUGGUUCUUCAGGAAGGAUGGAGAGGGGAGCAAAGGAAUCCCAACAGCAAAGCCUUCGAAAACCGAGAGCUGAACAGAGGGACCUCGUUAAGGUAAACAAAAAUUUCAUAAGGGGAGCAGAAAAGAUAAACGCUACCUGGGUUAUUAUUAGCUCACGUCAAAUACGGGAGCAGCAGGGAUGUGCACUUCAGAUACAGUGCAAGAGCUUCGCAGAGUUUAAGUGGAAUUCCUUGCACAGAAUGCGGUUAAUAGAUGGAAUGUGGCAUUGCUGGCAGCAUGAGAAACAAUCAAGCUAAACAGCCUGCAGAGCUAUUAGAGGGUGAAAUACAUAUUGUGGAAUGAGAGACAACAGGCCUGCCCAUCCUCGUCUGUGUGUUUACUUAGAAGUCAGCUCCACUGAAACCAGCAGGGCUUGAUCCCAAAGACGUAGGCGCAAAACGGCAGCCUCAGAGGCAGAAGGAACCAAAAUAGGAAAUCUGCUGCUGGCAGAAUAGUGGCUGUUAUAUUUAUUUAUUUGUUUGUGGCUUUCCCCCCCUUCAGAACCCUGAAAUGCUCUUGAUCUGGCUGUUGAAAGGAUGACCGACUAUUGUGGGUAGAGAACAAAAAGGCUAACGGAGGACGAAUGGAAUGCAGAAGCAUGAAAAAGGUCCUGGCUGGCCAGACCCCUGAAAGACAGUGCAUUCCACGCUGCAAUGUCUUGUUGCAGGCCCCACUCGCUUUGUCGAUAACAAAUGUCAGAUUCACGGGUGCGAGUGUUUAAUGAUGUUGGGCAUACAACGACCGCGGCGCUCUUUUCGUCUGCCUGAAACAUCUGCAAUAAUGUCCUGAAAGGAUUUCUGGGCAUUUUGCUGUGUGGAAAACAUACUUCACCUCUGCUAUUUGGUGGAGUAAUAUGGUUAUUUGCUAUUGGUAUUUCUUACUACAUUUCUGCUGUUAUUCUCAGGGCUUGGAAAAUGCAGCUGAUUGAUUCCCGCCCCCGCAACGUGGUAGGCCAAUCCCGUGAUUGUAAUAAGGGCCAACUGCUGGAGAAGUAUUGGGAUGAACCAUUGAUUAAGUUGACACCGUAAUCUAUUUUCCUGCGCAUCGCAGGCUGAAUUUACAGUCCGUGUACACCCACAUUACUGACACAUUGUUCUGUGUGAAUAAUCUUGCUUGGGCGACUUUGCCUGUGCUCGGCUUUUAUUAAUAUUAGAAUACCGCUCGGAACUCUUGAACAGAAUGAAAGGGGAGGCUGAAGAAAUUAUACCAAAGCUUGCUUUUUUUUUUAAGGAACAGGAGGAAGUACAAUGGGGAGAAAUGACAUAGAUGUUCAAAAUGGCUGCCUGAAAAAGCCGCAUUUUCCAAACAGAAAGGCAACAGUUGCAAUCCAGGUCGGCAACUUUGAUAGGUUGCUCUAAGCAGUCCUUUUUCGGGGGGGGGGGGGGAAAGCAGGGGUACGCAUACCCCUAAACAUUUUGUGAAUCCAAAAAAAAGAAACUAAAAAACUAAAACUAAACUAAACUAAAAAAAAAUGAAAAUUUUUAGUUUCUUCUCUAGCACGGUGAAUCAUUAGUUCCGUUGCUACGACUGAUGGUGGCCUCAUUUCUUAUCAUGGUGUUUCCUAAGUCUCAGACAGAAGUGAAUGUUUAAUGUGUGAAGCAGGAGUUGGAAUCUAGCACGGUGAUUGGUCAGUUUCGUUGUUACCACCUCCGAUGGCGGCUUCAUUUCCUUUCCCAGUGCUUCCUGAGUUUCAGUUGGAAGUGAGCGUUUAAUGUGUGAAGCAGUGUGGAAUGCAUCUAAACACUGUAGCCAACUUAAUGUUUAUAAAAUUGGUACGUCCUCCUUUGUGUUUGUUUAAGCCUUCAGUGUAUGGUUUUUGAAAGGACGACAUCUGGCGACAGACACCAACAGCAAACAGAGGAAUCGGGAAGAUGUUAGUGCACACAACCUCAUGCCAAUGUGGAAGUUACUGUGAGCUGUCAGCUGUGUAACAUGAGGUAAUGCAUGUUCUUUGGACUUUUGUCCAUUUACUGUAUUUAUUUUCCCCGAUUUGAACUAGAAAAUGGUGAUUUUCUUGAGUCAAAAUGGAAGUACCCCUAAUUUUUUAUUUAUUUUUUAGAGGAAGAAAGCACUGGUUUUAAGGUACUUACUUAUCUCAUGACAGUUCUUGCCAGCACCUGCAAUUCUGUAAAUAUGGCUUUUGGAUUUCAUUUUGUGUUGAUGUUUUACUUACGUUAUGACUCAUAAGCUGUAAGAUGAAUGCAGACAAGCUGAGAUGUGGAUGUCCAAAUCACACAAAAUCCUAGCCAGGAGGGCUAUACUCUGCUUCCUUAGUUGGAGUCUGUAGUGCUUCUGAGUACCAGUUGUUGAAAGCCACAGGAUGCACUCAAAUCCUGCUUUGGGUUUCCCUCAGGCAUCUGGUUGGUCACUGUGAGAACAGGAUUCUGGACCAGAUGGGCCGCUGGCCUGAUCCAGAGGGCUUUUCUGGUGUUCUUAAAAUGAAAUGACAAAAACCCUAAAAUGAAAACUAACACAAAUGCAUUUUGAUUUAAGGUCUUCUUUAGUGGUUUCUGGCAAAGAUAAAGGUAAAGGUAAAGG